This 476-nucleotide ribosomal RNA is filed under the name uncultured delta proteobacterium. RNAcentral describes it as "bacterial SSU rRNA". It matches the Rfam family "Bacterial small subunit ribosomal RNA", at positions 31 to 496 of the family's 1533-position model. Lineage: Bacteria; Deltaproteobacteria. The record is from RNAcentral.
GAACGCUGGCGGCGUGCUUAACACAUGCAAGUCGAGCGAGAACGGUUCCUUCGGGAACUUAGUAAAGCGGCGCACGGGUGAGUAACACGUGGGUAACCUGCCUUGUAGUGGGGGAUAACAGUCCGAAAGGACUGCUAAUACCGCAUGAGACCCUCGAGUCUUUGGGCUUGAGGGGGAAAGGGGCUUCGGCCUCGCUACAAGAUGGGCCCGCGCACCAUUAGCUAGUUGGUGGGGUAAUGGCCUACCAAGGCGACGAUGGUUAGCUGGUCUGAGAGGAUGAUCAGCCACACUGGAACUGAGACACGGUCCAGACUCCUACGGGAGGCAGCAGUGAGGAAUCUUGCGCAAUGGGCGAAAGCCUGACGCAGCAACGCCGCGUGUGUGAUGAAGGCCCUAGGGUUGUAAAGCACUGACCAGAGGAAAGAACAAACGGGAUUAAUCUCCCGUCCUGACGGUACCUCUGAAGAAAGCACCGG